This is a long non-coding RNA of Paramisgurnus dabryanus, 1420 nucleotides long. RefSeq lists it as uncharacterized. NCBI's taxonomy places the organism in Eukaryota, Metazoa, Chordata, Actinopteri, Cypriniformes, Cobitidae. The record is from RefSeq and is a predicted model, not a curated record.
UAAAAACUGGAUAAAAACAUUAUAUAUCUACAAGUGCGUUUACUAAAUACAUGUAUUAUUAUGCUAAUGUGAUUUAAUUGAUAAAGUUUUUUUUAUUUAAGAAAAUCUGAGCAUCACUGAAAAUAACUGUCAACAUGUUUGUCAACUAAACAUGUUUUGUAAACGUUAUACAUUUUAUAAAAAUAUUUUAUAUUUUUAUUAUUGAUAAAGUAUAAAGAACAAAUCCGUGUGAAAACGCAGAUUAUAAAAAGUACAUAAGGUGCAAGCAGAGGAUCCAAAAUAAUGAAGAAAAAAAAAACAUUUGAAACAUCCAAUGCAUCUUGGAACUCGUAGUCAAAUUUACAUCUGCAGCAUGUGAACGCCAGGGCAAAAGACUUCAAUUCCCAGAAUGCACCUGCACCCACCCAUUCAUUCCCACCAAUCAGGAUCAACGGCAUUAUUCAAACCGCUACUGAGUGACUCGGUUUUCGUUUUCAUGCUAAACAGUACGGCUGAGGUAAGUUUGACUUUCAUUCCUCUACAUCGCGCAGAUCUGUUCCGUAUUUGUUCCUAUUUUGUUCUUCACUGUGAUUAUUUUUGUCUUUAUGCGAGAAGUGUUUUAAUUUAAAGCACACACAGGAAACAUCACUGUGACGGUACACAGUAACUUAACGUUAAGGUCAUGUACCAUGUGGUCGACCUUGCUGAUGCUGAAGAGGUUUCUGUGUUAAAAUGAUGACAUUGAGACAAACGGACCAGUUCCGGCUGCCGUGGAGGUCAACACACCACUGAUCUACUGGCUGCCCUUCAACGUGAUGCCCAGCCGAUGCCUGACUACCGACGGAACCCGCUAAAUCUCCUUAUCCGUUUACAUCCCAUAUAUAUAUGUGUAUAUCUUUUCCUCCUAGGACUUUUUGUUCCUCCCUGAGGUUUUUCUCCUAGGGGUUUUUCAACCUCGGGGAGUCAACCAACAUUGGCUUAACUUAGCACCCUCUUUUAUACGAGACAUUAUUAAUUUGCUCGCUUGUAAAGUUUAUUCAUAGCCGCUGUAUUUUGCUACUUAUAUUGUCUGUUGAUUUUUCUAUGUUUCCCCUGCUUCUUUUAAUGUAAAGCUGCUUUGAAACAACUACAAAUUGUGAAAAGCGCUAUAUAAAUAAAAUUGAAAUGUCUCUUUCCUGUUUUACAGAUGCAGUGAGGGAGUGAUUUCCCAACAUCGAGGUGGCAGAGAUCCGGGACCUUCUACGGAGGAAGUGCAACAAUGCCAGUUACAAGGCCUCCAGUAGUUCAAAUCAGAGCUAGAUGUGCAUAUAGUACAAGUUGUUCGCAAUUGUUCUCUUCCCGGCAUUUCAAAGAAAGUCGACUGUUUAAGGUUCCCAUUUUGCCAAUAUCUGUUUUGUGUGUUACUUUUGUGUCAAUAAUAAAGAUCCUUUUUUGAAAUGCA